CCUACGGGAGGCUGCAGUGAGGAAUAUUGGUCAAUGGACGAGAGUCUGAACCAGCCAAGUAGCGUGAAGGAUGACUGCCCUAUGGGUUGUAAACUUCUUUUAUAUGGGAAUAAAAUGUUCCACGUGUGGGUUUUUGUAUGUACCAUAUGAAUAAGGAUCGGCUAACUCCGUGCCAGCAGCCGCGGUAAUACGGAGGAUCCGAGCGUUAUCCGGAUUUAUUGGGUUUAAAGGGAGCGUAGGUUGAUUGUUAAGUCAGUUGUGAAAGUUUGCGGCUCAACCGUAAAAUUGCAGUUGAAACUGGCAGUCUUGAGUACAGUAGAGGUGGGCGGAAGUCGUGGUGUAGCGGUGAAAUGCUUAGAUAUCACGAAGAACGCCGAUUGCGAAGGCAGCUCACUGGACUGCAACUGACACUGAGGCUCGAAAGUGUGGGUAUCAAACAGGAUUAGAUACCCCUGUAGUC
This 460-nucleotide ribosomal RNA is filed under the name uncultured bacterium. Its description in RNAcentral is "partial 16S ribosomal RNA". It matches the Rfam family "Bacterial small subunit ribosomal RNA", at positions 338 to 795 of the family's 1533-position model. The record is from RNAcentral.